CGGGGCAGUAGUCAGAUAUGGGCGGAACCUCCCCUCUAGAAAGGCGGAGCACCCUUUGAAGAGCGAGAUGGCUUUGAAAGGUUUGUAGCUUUAAUUAUAAGGCAGGAAAGAGUUCUCCAAAGCUAUCUAUUCUGUUGCUCUCAGGAACCAACUACUAGUGAGGUACGAAUGAAGCCUAUUUCCCUCAACAAGUUUAAAACUUUCAAGGGAAAUGUCAGAUUUAUUUCAAAGUACAAAGUUUGUUCUGUCUCUCCUGCUGCAAGCUCAACCUGCAAACUGAAAACUCAAGCUGUG
RNAcentral lists this long non-coding RNA (294 nucleotides) under Heterocephalus glaber (naked mole-rat). RNAcentral describes it as "lncRNA (ENSHGLG00000049688.1)". The record is from RNAcentral. Lineage: Eukaryota; Metazoa; Chordata; Mammalia; Rodentia; Bathyergidae.